This 250-nucleotide long non-coding RNA is filed under the name Arabidopsis thaliana (thale cress). RNAcentral describes it as "long non-coding RNA (ATHA_LNC000298)". Lineage: Eukaryota; Viridiplantae; Streptophyta; Magnoliopsida; Brassicales; Brassicaceae. The record is from RNAcentral.
CCUUUGACUCAUCCACCUCAGCCUUUGCCGCCUCAACUUCCUUUGUUUUAUUUUCUUCCUUAUCUUCCUUUUCUUUUCCUUCAACAUUCUCCACUUGUUUAUUUUCAUCCCCAUUCUCCACUUUUUCAUCCAUAUCUGUCCCUUUGUCUUCAUCUACCAGUGUCCCUUCCUCUUUGAUGUCUCCUGUAUUGCCAUCUUUUGUUCCAUUUGCUUUGUCAGCUUCAUGUUGUAUGUCCUCCUUCCCAGCUUU